UAGCAGCUGCCCUGGGUGUCAGGAGA
Molecule: non-coding RNA, 26 nt
Filed under: Rattus norvegicus (Norway rat)
Lineage: Eukaryota; Metazoa; Chordata; Mammalia; Rodentia; Muridae
Source: RNAcentral